This is a long non-coding RNA of Acipenser ruthenus (sterlet), 1025 nucleotides long. RefSeq lists it as uncharacterized. The record is from RefSeq and is a predicted model, not a curated record. Lineage: Eukaryota; Metazoa; Chordata; Actinopteri; Acipenseriformes; Acipenseridae. The transcript is spliced from 5 exons.
CCAGCCUGACGGAGGCAAGCCCGGGCAAAUAAAUCUGGACUGGCAAACAACCGAAGUCUUUCAACAGGUGAAUCCCGUUGCUGUGAACAUCCAAGUGUCUGUUUUGCAUAUGAAGGUAAAGGUGAGGAGGAAUUCAGGAGGAUCACAACUUUCAUGGAGAAACUGGACUGCUACAUGCCAAGACUGUUGUCUUUAUUCAAGAAGAAAGGAGGUGCUGCAGGGGUGAAAUUGCAGGGGAUCCAGGAAAUGCUGUAUGGGAGCAACACUGUCGAGAAGAGAAGAUAAACCGUGAUCCGUGGCCUCAUCAUAUACCUCAGUGAGAACGUGGAGGACCUUAUCAAAGAAUACCAGGAUGCAGAGGACGCCAACAUCCAAGAGGACCUCACACAACAUGUCCUCAAGAUCUUUGUGGUCAACAAAGGUGCCACCGAUAACGACAAUCCAGUGGAUGUGGAGAUAGCCAUUGAAGGAGCCGAGGUCCUAUCUGGUAUUUCUAGUGUAGCACAAGCAUGCACCUUCUUGAUGGGCCUUAUCUACGCCUUAAACCUAAGCUACCCCAAAGAACUGAAAUAUACCUUUGAGGUAUUCCAGAAAGUCGUCUUGGAACUGAACGUAGAGAAAACCACCUCCAAGGUCCAGUCUCUUAGGAGAAAGUUACUCGCCUAAAUGGCAAGCAUAAAACCCAAAGGUGGAGCUUUUGUGUUUGGAUGAUCGAUCCUUUGUCAGAAUCCAAAAUGUUAAAGCUUAACUUUACCACUUGAACUUCUGAGUUUACUUGAAUGGACAGCUAUUUGUUCAAUUUGCAACAUGUGAAUCUGCUGUUGUUUCUGCCAGAGAAAAUGGAUUUCAACAUGUUAAAUGCUCACAGAUUGACUUUUUCUCUUUGCCUGUUUUGAAUAAGCAAAACCUGAUUAUGUUUGUGUUCAUUUUCAAAUGUUACGGUAGACAAACUAUUUCUUUAAAGGGAUAGUUCACUUUUUUACACCUUAUAGUCAGAUGGUUCCUUACCCUGAAAGUGGUCAAUG